RNAcentral lists this ribosomal RNA (496 nucleotides) under uncultured bacterium. Its description in RNAcentral is "partial 16S ribosomal RNA". It matches the Rfam family "Bacterial small subunit ribosomal RNA", at positions 28 to 507 of the family's 1533-position model. The record is from RNAcentral.
GAUGAACGCUGGCGGCGUGCCUAAUACAUGCAAGUCGAGCGAACAGAUGAGGAGCUUGCUCCUCUGACGUUAGCGGCGGACGGGUGAGUAACACGUGGAUAACCUACCUAUAAGACUGGGAUAACUUCGGGAAACCGGAGCUAAUACCGGAUAAUAUAUUGAACCGCAUGGUUCAAUAGUGAAAGACGGUUUUGCUGUCACUUAUAGAUGGAUCCGCGCCGCAUUAGCUAGUUGGUAAGGUAACGGCUUACCAAGGCGACGAUGCGUAGCCGACCUGAGAGGGGAUCCGCCACCCUGGAACCGAGACACCGGCCAGACUCCUACGGGAGGCAGCAGUAGGGAAUCUUCCGCAAUGGGCGAAAGCCUGACGGAGCAACGCCGCGUGAGUGAUGAAGGUCUUCGGAUCGUAAAACUCUGUUAUUAGGGAAGAACAAAUGUGUAAGUAACUAUGCACGUCUUGACGGUACCUAAUCAGAAAGCCACGGCUAACUACGUG